UGUCUGGCUCUUCGGAAGCUGAGGAAGACAAUGAUCCUGAUGGUCCUUUUGCUUUCCGUAGGAAAGCAGGCUGUCAGUACUAUGCUGUAAGUUUCAGAGUGUCUUUGUAAAUAACAAACUAUUUACCUUUAACUGACAAAAUUAAAUAAUUUGGAUUUUUUUUUUAAGCCUCACUUAGACCAAACUGGCAACUGGCCUUGGACUAGUCCUAAAGAUGGAGGAUUAGGGGAUGUGCGAUAUAGAUACUGCUUAACUACUCUCACCGUACCCCAAAGGUGUAUUGGAUUUGCACGAAGACGGGUUGGGCGCGGUGGAAGGGUCUUACUGGACAGAGCUCAUUCAGACUAUGACAGUGUGUUUCACCAUCUGGAUUUGGAAAUGCUUUCCUCACCACAACAUUCUCCAGUCAAUCAGUUUGCCAAUACCUCAGAAACAAAUACCUCGGACAAAUCUUUCUCUAAAGACCUCAGUCAGAUACUAGUCAAUAUCAAAUCAUGUAGAUGGCGGCAUUUUAGGCCUCGGACACCAUCCCUACAUGACAGUGACAAUGAUGAACUCUCCUGUAGAAAAUUAUAUAGGAGUAUAAACCGAACAGGAACAGCACAACCUGGGACCCAGACAUGCAGUACCUCUACGCAAAGUAAAAGUAGCAGUGGUUCAGCACACUUUGAACUGAGCUCUCCAUAGACAAACAUAAGUAGCAUAACACAGUGUCUUUCCUCAGACAUCAUUCUGUACAGUAAAUCAACAUAAACAACUCCGUUCUUAUUGACUGGAUUUUUUC
RNAcentral lists this long non-coding RNA (784 nucleotides) under Pan troglodytes (chimpanzee). RNAcentral describes it as "long non-coding RNA NONPTRT002119". The record is from RNAcentral. Lineage: Eukaryota; Metazoa; Chordata; Mammalia; Primates; Hominidae.